This 479-nucleotide ribosomal RNA is filed under the name uncultured bacterium. RNAcentral's name for it is "partial 16S ribosomal RNA". It matches the Rfam family "Bacterial small subunit ribosomal RNA", at positions 28 to 507 of the family's 1533-position model. The record is from RNAcentral.
GAUGAACGCUCGCGGGAGGCCUAACACAUGCAAGCCGAGCGGUAUUGUUUCUUCGGAAAUGAGAGAGCGGCGUACGGGUGCGUAACACGUGUGCAACCUGCCUUUAUCUGGGGUAUAGCCUUUCGAAAGGAAGAUUAAUACUCCAUAAUAUAUUUAACGGCAUCGUUUAAUAUUUAAAGCUCCGGCGGAUAGAGAUGGGCACGCGCAAGAUUAGCUAGUUGGUGAGGUAACGGCUCACCAAGGCGAUGAUCUUUAGGGGGCCUGAGAGGGUGAUCCCCCACACUGGUACUGAGACACGGACCAGACUCCUACGGGAGGCAGCAGUGAGGAAUAUUGGUCAAUGGGUGCAAGCCUGGACCAGCCAUCCCGCGUGAAGGACGACUGCCAUAUGGGUUGUAAACUUCUUUUGAAUAGGGAUAAACCUACCCUCGAGAGGGUAGCUGAAGGUACUAUACGAAUAAGCACCGGCUAACUCCGUG